CAUCUACAAGGUAUUUUGCGGCUUUUGUCUUAUUCCUUUUGUGCUCCUGAUACAUCCUUUCUUCACAAGAACCUGUGUGAGUUCCAGCAAUGUAGACCUUGAAAGGAUUUGGUUCUUUUCUUUCAUUUUAUGCUAUUUAUACCUCUUCAACUGUUUCUGUUCUGGUACACCCUUGGCUUUCAAAUACAUGUACUAGUAUUCGGCCCUGAGAAUUCCUGAUGAAGGUAAAUUUAGAAGAAGUAGUAUACCGCUGUUCGAAAUUCAUAAAUCGAUUGAGGAAAACAACAUCCGGGUUACAAACUAAAACUGAGGGAAACGCAUUAAAUAUAAGAGAACUACGACACAACAGAAACAC
Molecule: long non-coding RNA, 355 nt
Filed under: Mytilus galloprovincialis (Mediterranean mussel)
Lineage: Eukaryota; Metazoa; Mollusca; Bivalvia; Mytilida; Mytilidae
Source: RNAcentral